This is a long non-coding RNA of Salvia splendens (bonfire salvia), 2172 nucleotides long. RefSeq lists it as uncharacterized. The record is from RefSeq and is a predicted model, not a curated record. Lineage: Eukaryota; Viridiplantae; Streptophyta; Magnoliopsida; Lamiales; Lamiaceae. The transcript has 2 exons.
UUUUCUUGGUAGAUUUGUUCAAUUGAUGUUCUGAUUUCGUAGCUGGCUCAACACCGUUGGUGGAGUUUACAUCGCUCGAUGUCAGAUGUCCAAUGAUUCAAUUACUCCCUAUUUUCCCCCUCUCACAUCUUCCAUUUUUUUAAAAUGUGAAGCAGAUUCAAGUCGGCUGCCUUGAAGAGAUCUGUAGUGCACCGCCUUUCCACAAUCUAAAUUAUCGGAGUGCAAGGAAUAACCCAUAGCCUCGGCAAGAACAACAACCCAGUAAGUUCGGAAAAUUGGACGGUAAUCUUUCAUUUGUUUAAGGUUGAUUUUUUAUACUUUUCAUUUGCCGCCGAUUGAGUGAUGUGCCGCUCUAAUGUGCUCCGACAGUUAAAAUUGGAUUGGUACACGUACCAGUCCCUUAUAGUUUACUCAUCUCCAACCUGUUGAUUGAUUGUUAAAUGGAAAAAAUGAACAUAUUUUGAAAGGGUAUGCGCUUUCUAAUGCAGGGAUUCAUCAAUGUCCGACUUGUGGGUGUAUGAACCAAAUUUAUUCCUUGCUAUGUGAUGACGUUUAUUGUCAAAUUAUGUGGUUGUUGUUUUGGUCUGAAGCUUGAACUACUUGCUGCUGUUACACCAUUUUGUCUCAGUUUCUCAAAAAUUAAGUAUCUUGUUUAGCUUACCAUAUUUUAUUUACACAAGGUCAUGGUAGUCUACAAACUUGCUUCUCGGUACAACAUAUUCUAUCUCAGAUUUGUUCAUAUGAAUGAAAAGUUUAUUUUUCAGUGCAAAAAAUUGAACCUGUCGAUUUUGUAUUUUACUUCAUUGAUGGCACCUCCUUUGCCUAUGUCUACAACCCUUUACGUUAUGUUAGAAGACAUAAUGAAUCGUUUACAUUUGCAAACUACCAUAAUCUUGUAUCUUUAUUUGAGGCACUGUAGAUGUUUGUGUGGACGUCGUAGGCGGCACUUGAUAACACUACUCUCUAAUAGGUCGGAUUCCUGCUACAAGUCCAUCAUAUGAGUCUGCUUGUCUCUGUUAGCGAUACCGAUUGCUUAGUCAAUUUUCGUAUGGACAGGAAUACAUUUGGGAGAUUGUGUGUUCUUCUAAAGGAAGUAGGGGGUUUACAUGGUAGGUAUGUGUUCGUUGAGGACCAGGUUGCAAUGUCAUCACACAAAAAAAUCAAAUUAUAGGUUUCAACUUCAAACGGUCAGGUGAAACUAUUUCCCAUUAUGUGCACCGUGUUCUCUUAGCUGUUAUCAAGUUGCACAUAGUUUUGUUGCCUACACCAGAUCCCGUCACGGAGGAUAAUUUGGACCCAAGGUGGAAAUAUUUUAAGGGAUAUAUUGGAACGUUAGACGUGACGUAUAUCAAUGUCCUAGUUAGCAACACGGACAAACCAUGUUAUCGCAACCGACCCUCGCGGUUUGUGACUGCAAAAUGAGGUUCAUGUAUUUUUUAUCGGGCUGGGAAGGGUCAGCCGGUGAUUCUCAAGUGCUCCGAGAUGCCGUCAGAAGGGAAGAUGGCUUAAGGUUCCUAAAGGUUGUGAUGUGUAAAAUUGUAUGUAGAACUAGUAUGUAGCUUAUUGCAAAUGAUAUUUUCUGGCUGUAAUAUGACUAAAUUAUACACGUACUUCUUCAUCUAGGUAAUUACUUUUUAUAUGAUAACGGAUAUGCAAACGCUGAAGGAUUUUUUACACCCUUCAAAGGUGUCCAUUAUCAUUUAAAAAAAUGAGGAGUAGGCAACCGAAGACCACAAAAUGCCCAUGAGUUGUCCAACCUACGACACAGUAAAGCACGAACAUAAUUGAGCGUGCUUUCGUUGUGUUAAAGAUGCGAUGGGGUGUUCUCCGGAGUGUCAGCUUCUAUCCCAUAAAAACUCAAAUUAGGUUGAUCAUAACAUGCAUUUUGCUGCACAAUUUUAUCCGGGGUGAAAUAACAAACAAUCCAGUUGAGGAAGCAAUUGAUAUUGGACAUAAGAUGUUGUGAACACGAUGACUAUACUGACAUGGAAUACAUUGUCCAAGUUGAAGCUACAACUGAUUGGACUCUAAUGCGGGAAGACUUGGAAAAUUCCAUGUGGUUAAAUGUGUUGUCUUAGUAAUAAGGACAAAUAAGUGUUGCUAUAUUGAAUUGACAAUGUGGUUCCUGUUUUCAGUUGGUAUUGAAGUUAUUUUGGUUUAUUAUUCGAUGUA